CAAAAACAGUUAUUUGAUGAUUUAUUUCGAUUGUAUAAAGAAUGACAGUUAACGAAUCGCAAGAUCAACCACUGAGGAUUGUUUGGCUUCAUGCAAUGACCUUAAACAGUUAAAGGAUUUUCCAGGAAGGUCUAUACACCACAAGCUGGAUUUUUUGGGGUGAUGAAAGAACUAUGAAUAUGUGAAUGGGAAUGAAACAGAAGGAAUUAAUAUGUUCUACUGAUCAUCCAGCUGAAAUCAUGCCUAUGGAAUAGAGUACAUGUCACAAAUACUGAUAUGAGCAAAUAACUCCAUAUUGCACAAAUAAGGUCAUGUUUCCUGCCCUCAUGACCUGAAAAAGUUAAACAUUCUAAUUCAAAUUACAAAUGUGUUUCAAGAAAAAGUAAAACCUAGUCAACUGUGAGAAAUAUUGGGUAAAAGUAUUGUAUAAGUGUUUUGUUGCCAUGACAGCUGUGAAGUGAUUUGAAAAGCACUAUCUUAAUUGUUUUAACAAUACAGAAUUUAACUUAUGAAUUUUCCAAAACUGCAUGCAUGAAAUACUAAGACAUGUCUGUUGAAUGAAUCCUAGUUGUUUCAAAACUACAACAUGUGUGACAUUUAAAGCACAACCUUUGGAUGAAACAUUUUUACAAUCAUAACUGCCUUGCCUGUGUGAGUGUAGGAAGGAUUUCCCAGAAAUUGCCAUGGCAGAAAACUUCUAAUAUAGCAGAAAAUAUUUGUUACUGGCUAAAUAUAAUACAUUUUAUUUCAAGAAUUAAUCAUGUAAAUCCAUGGUUAUAACUGUGUUAAAAGAUAUUUUUUACAUGAACUUUGCAGAAAUAGCUAAUUUUGUUGCAAAACAUUGUGAGUUGCCAUGGUAACACAAAUUUGACUUAAAUUUAGAUUUGUUUGAUUAUGUAGACAGCAUGUUUCUUGUUUACAUUCUGCUAAUCAGACUAUGUUCUGCAAAAAAUAUCUUUUAUGUGUAAUCAUUGCAUCAACAAAACAUGUCAUAACACAAAUCUGCCAUAAAAUGGCUGAGUUGUAAUGCAGGUAGGCAUAUCAGAAAAAUAUGUAAUUCUCAAAGUCAAAUUAUAUUACAUUAAAUAUGUUUGUUUUUUUAUAAAUGAUCAUAACUGACCAUUUGUGGUGUAAAACAAAUGUAUAUUGAACAGUUGCUAAAUGAAUGUUCUGGUUCUUUCUGGAAAAUUUACAAAAAUACUACUAUUUUAAGAAAAUAGUGCAUUGUUGCCAUUGUAACAUUAAUUUGACUUUUAAAUAUUUUGGAUAUCAGCAUAUGUAAACAACAUCUUUCUUGUUUAUAUGUUAUAUUUGUUAAGCUGUAUUAUGUUAGUGAAUGUAUUUUCAUAUGUAAUUAUUGCAUCAACAAAGCACUAUGUUAUCACACAAGUCUGCCUUAAAAUGGCAAGAGUUGUAACUGAGAGAGGUGUAUCCGAAAAGUAUGUAUUUCUCAAACAAUAUUACAUUAAUUUGCAUGGAAUGAUGUCUCUUACUUUUGAAUAAGAAAACAGACAUCUUUUGAUGUAAAUAUAUGUAGACACACUUCAAAUGUUCAAAGUAUUACAAAGAAAUUGACAAAAAUGUUAGUAUUUUUGUAAGAAAAUACUACAUUGUUGCCAUGGUAAUGUUAGUAUUUUUGUAAGAAAAUACCACAUCGUUGCCAUGGUAAUGAUUCACUGAUCAGUAUAUCUAAGUCUACUGAAAUUUUAGCAAACUCACAGUUGAUAAUAACAGUCUAAUAAUUAUAUCUUCUUGCCUGAUUUUCUUUUUUACUGUUUAAUAGAUAAGGUGUCUAUAACAAUAAGAUUAAUGUCCUAGUUUUUGGGAUGUUAUCUAAUCUGAUAUCAAAUAAAGUCUGUAUUUUGUUCAAAAGAAUGUCAUAAAACAGUUGUCUGUAAGCUGUUUGCACACUAGAAAAAGUUAAUUGUGUAUUUAUUUCACAUUCUAUGUAAUUUAUUGCUAGAUUCAUCAAGGGACUGUUCAAAAAGAGGUUAAACAACAGUGUUGCUAUAGAAACGAUUUUUAGAACAUAAAUAUUUUUAUACUACAUGAAAGAAAGAGACAAAAAGAAAUACAUUCCAUUAAUUGCAUGUUGCUUUUGUUAUUUUAUCAUGUAUUUUAUCUUGAUAUUAUUUAAAUAUGGAAUCAUUAUUAAGAUAUACUACCUCAAUUUUGAUACAGUUAGACAAAAACAUGGUGUCCGAAAAGUGGUAAUAUCUCCAUGACAAUGGCUGAUUUUUGUUGUCAAAUUGAAGAUUUUUACUCAGAACGGGUCAAUCUGUCAGAUUAGCCCAAAACCCCAUUUUUGACCAAAAUUGCAUUUAGACCCAAAAUCUCAUGCUCUGUCAUAUUAUGUUCAUGAAGGUAUUUAUCCCAGUGCUUGGAAACUUGCUAAAGUAAUGCCCCUUUUCAAAAAAGGAAUAAAAAAUAAUCCAUCGAACUACUGACCUAUUUCCUUAAUAAGUUGUGUCGGAAAAGUCAUGGAAAGAGUAAUUUUUAAACAUAUUCCCUACAGUCUGGCUUUUUACCUGGUCAUUCAACUGUCUUUCAGCUAGUAGAUAUGUAUCACCAAAUAUGUGAAUCUUUUGAUGAGAGAAAAUCAACUUACAUUGUUUUCUGUGAUAUUUCUAAAGCAUUUGAUAGAGUUUGACACCGCGGUCUUCUUUUUAAACUUAAACAAUACGGCCUAGAUGACACACUUCUUAGUUGGUUUGAGAGUUAUUUUUUGAAUCGCAAACAAUCUGUCUUUGUUGGUAGUGAAAUCUCGAGGAUACUCCCACUAAAUGCUGGCGUUCCACAGGGCUCGGUCCUUGGGCCUCUACUUUUUUUAUCUAUGUGAACGACAUAGCUGAAAAUCUUUUAAGCAUUACCCGUUUGUUUGCAGAUGACAGCUCCUUAGCUGUAACUUCUUACGAUGUGAAUUAUAUUGAAUCUGUAUUAAACAGUGAUCUAACCACAAUUAGCCGUUGGUCCAAACAGUGGUUAGCUGAUUUUAAUCCUAACAAAACUGAAGUAAUGUUUUUUUUUCUAAUUUACAAGUAAAGCCAUUUCUUUAUUUUAAUGGUAUUCUACUAAAUUAUGUUGGUUUUCAUGAACAUUUAGGUUUAACUUUAUCGUCCGAUCUUAAAUGGCACGAGCAUAUUAGCCACAUAGAAAAGUCUUCAUCGAAAGUUUUGAGUUCUAUGAGAGCCCUAAAAUUCAGAUUAAAAAGAUCUACUCUAAAUCAAAUUUAUAUUUCAUAUAUGAGACCUAUAUUAGAAUAUGCAUCUAUCGUUUGGGAUGGAUGCACUGUACAACAAAAGCAAUCCUUAGAAAAAAUACAAUAUGAAGCGGCGCGUAUAGUUACAGGAUUAACCAGGUCUGUCUCAAUACAAAAUUUAGUUCAAGAAAUAGGAUGGGUCUCCUUAGAGGACAGACGAAAUAUUCAAAAGAUUAUUACAGUUUAUAAAGCUAAAAACAGUCUACUCCCUGAAUUCUUGGCAAAUAGUUUUCCUCCUCUUGUAGCAGAGAUAUCCAAUUACCCUUUGAGAAACAAUAAUAACUAUGUAACAAUAGCUCGAAGAACUCAGACUUAUAGUAACACAUUUAUACCGUCAUCUACCGAUCUAUGGAAUUCACUUGAUAUAAAUAUAAGAAAUUCUGAAUCCCUUAAUAUAUUUAAAUCAAGGCUAAAAGAUUUGUUCAAAGCACCAACAAUCCCCAAACACUUUUUGAUUGGUAAAAGACUUCCCUCAGUAUUAAAUGCAAGGUUAAGAAACCGAUGCAGUAAUCUGAAUAACGAUUUAUACAGAAACCAUUUAAGAGAAAAUCCCAGUUGUGAUUGUGGGUACCCCAUCGAGAAUGCUGAACAUUAUUUCUUUCAGUGUUUGAAAUUUAGAGAACAAAGAAUCGAUCUAUUUUAUGAAACCAGAACUUUUCAUCCUUUAAAUGACACACUACUAUUAUUCGAAUCUGACAUGUACUCAGACGAAAGCAAUUCACUAAUUACUUUCGCGGUGCAUAAAUUUAUCAUAAAUUCUAAUUGUUUUCAGUGAGAAUAGGUGUGACUUGUUAUUUCUACCAGUACCUAACAAUUAAUAUUGAUUAUUAAUCAAACCUCAAUUUAUCUCAAACGAAUACAGUUACUCCUGCCCUUGCCUAGCUUCUGGGAAACAUAUCCAUGAGGAAAAUAAAUAGCAAGCUCAACAUCAUAUAUAACAUUAAACUAGCUACAGUUUUCUUUUUUAGUGUCAGUCAUACUUUGGUCAUUUCUUCAUUCAAUUUUUUGUAAUACAUGUUAUGAUUGUUUAUUUCGUAAAAGUAAUUAAUUCUAUGUAAUAUUCAAUUUUCAAGAGAAGGGCCGUUUA
Long non-coding RNA from Mercenaria mercenaria, 4346 nucleotides. RefSeq lists it as uncharacterized. The transcript is spliced from 3 exons. The record is from RefSeq and is a predicted model, not a curated record. NCBI's taxonomy places the organism in Eukaryota, Metazoa, Mollusca, Bivalvia, Venerida, Veneridae.